CCUACGGGAGGCAGCAGUCGAGAAUCAUUCACAAUGGGGGAAACCCUGAUGGUGCGACGCCGCGUGGGGGAAUGAAGGUCUUCGGAUUGUAAACCCCUGUCAUGUGGGAGCAAAUUAAAAAGAUAGUACCACAAGAGGAAGAGACGGCUAACUCUGUGCCCGCAGUCGCGGUAAUACAGAGGGCUCAAGCGUUGUUCGGAUUCACUGGGCGUAUAGCGUGCGUAGGCUGUUUCGUAAGUCGUGUGUGAAAGGCGCGGGCUCAAGCCGCGGACGGCGCAGGAUACUGGGAGACUAGAGUAAUGGAGGGGGAACCGGAAUUCUCGGUGUAGCAGGGAAAUGCGUAGAUAUCGGGAGGAACACUCGUGGCGAAGGCGGGUUCCGGGACAGUAACUGACGCUGAGGCACGAAGGCGAGGGGAGCGAAAGGGAUUAGAUACCCGUGUAGUC
RNAcentral lists this ribosomal RNA (446 nucleotides) under uncultured bacterium. RNAcentral describes it as "partial 16S ribosomal RNA". It matches the Rfam family "Bacterial small subunit ribosomal RNA", at positions 338 to 795 of the family's 1533-position model. The record is from RNAcentral.